This is a long non-coding RNA of Mya arenaria, 2313 nucleotides long. RefSeq lists it as uncharacterized. NCBI's taxonomy places the organism in Eukaryota, Metazoa, Mollusca, Bivalvia, Myida, Myidae. The transcript has 3 exons. The record is from RefSeq and is a predicted model, not a curated record.
AUUUUAUCUGGUGGACGAGGCCGAAUUGCCGGGGAAAGGAAGUGACAGUGUCAUGAGCAUGGCCCACCACUACUUUCAGCACUAUGGUGUCGGUGAAAAACAUGCUGAGGUUUAUUUCGAUAAUGCUUUCCGCCAAAACAAGAACAAUGCUGUGCCUUGGUAUGCCAUGUGACGUGGGAUGACAGGGCUGCAUGAGAGUGUAAAGCUAAACACUAUGUUGGCUGGGCACACCAAAUGUGUUCAUGCAAUCACUUCGGCAAUUGGAAGGUCAAGUGGCGAUGCUGUAAUGCCGAGAAUCUUCAAGAAAUUGCCCACACUGAUUUCACCUCUUCAAAGUCCAGCCACAACAUCCCACAGUUGGUUUAUGACCCUCAGCAGCCAGUCACAGUUCACAGUUGGAAAUCAUUCCUAGAUACAUAUGUCAAAACUCUAAAGAGUAUUACCAAAUACCACCAUUUCUAUGUAUAAAAACAUAAACCAGGAGUUGUAGUAUGCAAAGAGUUUGUAGAUUCCUCAGAAAUUGAAGUUAUUCUUUUGAGGAUGAGUCUAGAAUGUGGUGUUUUGCCUGAAAUAAAGCACGCACCGUGCCUAGAUGCUGCACGUCAAUGGUACCUUCAAGAUUCUAUUGGUCCAUUCUUUAGAUCUGAGUCAUCAAGAUCUGCAGUAUGCCCUAAACCAACUCUGUGUAAAGUCAAAGUUUACUCAUUUGUUGUUGAAAUGUUGAUUGUAAAUCAAAUGUUUGUGGCAAAUAUGAAAGAAAUGAGUAAAAAAUGGAAUUAUCACAUGUAACCAUAGCAACAGACUGUUGUUUUAUGUAGUUCUUUUAUGUCAUUUUGUACAUAUAAUGAGCAAUGUGUACUCGUUGUUUCUAUGAAUUAUGUCUCCCCCUCUCUGGGGGAGACAUAUUGUUUUUGCCCUGUCCGUCAGUCCGGUAGUCCGUCAGUCCGUCCGUACGUCACACUUCGUUUCCGAUCGAUAACUGGAAAACCGCAUGACCUAGGAUCACCAAACUUGGUAGGGAGGUUGGUCGUGAGGUGUAGAGGAUCCCUAUUGUUUUUGGGGUCACUAGGUCAAAGGUCAAGGUCGCGGCGACCCCCAAUAUAAAAAACAUUUCUGCUCAAAAUCUUGAGAACGGUUUGACCUAGGUUCACCAAACUUGGUAGGGAGGUUGGUCAUGAGGUGUAGACGAUCCCUAUUGUUUUUGGGGUCACUAGGUCAAAGGUCAAGGUCGCGGCGACCCCCAAUGUAAAAAACAUUUCCGCUCAAUAUCUUGAGAAUGGUUUGACCUAGGUUCACCAAACUUGGUAGGGAGGUUGAUCAUGAGGUUUAGAAAACUCCUAUAUUUUGGGGGGUCACAAGGUCAAAGGUCAACGUCGCUGUGACCUCUAAUGUAAAAAAAUAUUUCCGUGCAAUAUCAGGAGAAUGCUUUGAUCUAGGUUCACCAAACUUUGAAGUGAGGUUGGUCAUGAUGUCUAGUUGGUAUGCUGGUAGGUCAUGACUAGUAGAUGACUCCUAUUGAUUUUGUGAUCUGUAGGUCAUAGGUCAAGGUCGCAGUAAACUUGAGGUGAAAACACAGUUUCCGCUCAAUAACUAAAGAUCCUUUGGGUCCAGGAACUUCAUACUUGGUAUACUAUUUGUUCAUGGCUAGUAAUUGACCCCUAUUGAUUUUGAGAUCAAAAGGUCAAAGGUGAAGGUCGCCAUGACCUUGAGGUGAAGAAACGGUUACUAAAGUAACUAAAGAAGGCUUGCACCCAGGAACUUCAUACUUGGUAUGCAAGUUGGUCAUGUAGAUGACCCCUAUUGAUUUUGUGAUCAGUUGGUCAAAGGUCAAGGUCACGAUGACUUUGAGCUGAAAAAUGGUUUCUGAUCAAAUAAUUGAAUAACAAUUGCGCCCAUGCACUUCAUACAAUACAAACUUCAUUUACAUUUUCCAAGAUUAAUCAACAACACUUUCUUCUCUUCACUAUUUGAUACGGGUGAAUAAACCAAACUUCACUGUUGGUUCGUCUUCCGUCCAGAAUUACAAAUUUUAUGUCCAUCAUUUAUUUUUUCUCAGCUACGACCACACAAUAGGGGAGACAAGCGCUUUUUCAAAAAAGCAAUCUCUAGUUAGUUUAUGUGUUAGCUAUAACAGACAGUUAAGUUUCGGCAUGGUAACUGCAUUUAAAAUAAAAACAUUUUUAGUGGACAUUGUUUUCAAACUGGCUUACCAAUGUGUAACAGAAUGAUCCAUAUCUUUUGAUUUCUUUGUACAAAAAUGACUUGAAACCUUAGUUUUUAUACCUUAGAUACUUGGUAUCAUCUACAUGCCAA